UAUAUAUAUAUAUAUGAGUAUAUAUGUGUGGACAGAAUGAGAGAUGAUUGGAUUGCGAAUCGAAAAUCGAUUCUGGUGAAACAAAAUCGCAAGUUUGAUGGUCUGGCAGUGCCGGAAGUGCUGGCGCGAUAUGUUUGUUAAUCCGACGAAUUGAUUGUCCGAAAUCGCACAUUAUUCGAAUGAUCGAUAUUGCAUUUUUGGGUUUUUUUUUG
RNAcentral lists this long non-coding RNA (212 nucleotides) under Ananas comosus (pineapple). RNAcentral's name for it is "long non-coding RNA (ACOM_LNC025737)". The record is from RNAcentral. Lineage: Eukaryota; Viridiplantae; Streptophyta; Magnoliopsida; Poales; Bromeliaceae.